This 319-nucleotide ribosomal RNA is filed under the name uncultured bacterium. RNAcentral's name for it is "bacterial SSU rRNA". It matches the Rfam family "Bacterial small subunit ribosomal RNA", at positions 18 to 344 of the family's 1533-position model. The record is from RNAcentral.
CAUGGCUCAGGAUGAACGCUAGCGGCAGGCCUAACACAUGCAAGUCGAGGGAGGAGCUUUCGGGCUUCGACCGGCGUACGGGUGCGUAACGCGUAUACAAUCUGCCUUUCACAUAGGGAUAGCCCGAAGAAAUUUGGAUUAAUACCUAAUGGUAUAUAGGAGUGGCAUCACAUUUAUAUUAAAGCUGAGGCGGUGAAAGAUGAGUAUGCGUUCUAUUAGCUAGUUGGAGAGGUAACGGCUCCCCAAGGCGACGAUAGAUAGGGGUUCUGAGAGGGAUAUCCCCCACACUGGUACUGAGAUACGGACCAGACUCCUACGG